CUUUCGGUUACCAGGAUCUCAGAGAUGAAGGUACGAGCAUCCAUUAUAUUUCUAUUCUCAAGCAAAAACAAGAAAAGACUCCUAAUGACAAUUAAGUAAAAUUAGCUCUGAUACCAAUGAAAGAAAGACCUAUGUGAUCAUUUGCCUGGGAAAUACAAUUUUUUUUUUAAUAAUAAUAAUCGCCCCUUAUAAUUUUGGCAACAAGAUCACUCAUAGAUGGUCUUAUUACAAACAAUAGAAAUUCUAAAAAUAAAUAUCACAUCAAUAAAAUAAAUCUCAAUUACUCGAUGCCAUUCAUACAACCUAAUAUUGUGCUUGAGAAUAUAAAAUAAAAGAACAAACAAAUAAAAGAAAAGAUGCCGGAUAUUACUUCAACCAGGCUUUUUACACCCCACACCGAGUCACCACAUCCAAUGAUGCGGGAUUAGCGGUCUAGCUUCAAUCUCGAACCGAGAAAGUUAUUUUCGACCAAAUUAGG
RNAcentral lists this long non-coding RNA (478 nucleotides) under Amborella trichopoda. Its description in RNAcentral is "long non-coding RNA (ATRI_LNC001321)". Lineage: Eukaryota; Viridiplantae; Streptophyta; Magnoliopsida; Amborellales; Amborellaceae. The record is from RNAcentral.